This 446-nucleotide ribosomal RNA is filed under the name uncultured bacterium. RNAcentral describes it as "bacterial SSU rRNA". It matches the Rfam family "Bacterial small subunit ribosomal RNA", at positions 329 to 792 of the family's 1533-position model. The record is from RNAcentral.
UGCCAGACUCCUACGGGAGGCAGCAGUGGGGAAUAUUGCACAAUGGGGGGAACCCUGAUGCAGCGACGCCGCGUGGGUGAAGGAGCACCUCGGUGCGUAAAGCCCUAUCGGCAGGGAAGAAACAGACGGUACCUGACUAAGAAGCCCCGGCUAACUACGUGCCAGCAGCCGCGGUAAUACGUAGGGGGCAAGCGUUAUCCGGAUUUACUGGGUGUAAAGGGAGCGUAGACGGCGCUGCAAGUCCGGAGUGAAAGCCCAUGGCUUAACCAUGGUACUGCUCUGGAAACUGUGGAGCUUGAGUGCGGGAGGGGCAGGCGGAAUUCCUAGUGUAGCGGUGAAAUGCGUAGAUAUUGGGAGGAACACCGGCGGCGAAGGCGGCCUGCUGGACCGUAACUGACGUUGAGGCUCGAAAGCGUGGGGAGCAAACAGGAUUAGAUACCCCUGUA